Molecule: ribosomal RNA, 332 nt
Filed under: uncultured bacterium
Lineage: Bacteria
Description: bacterial SSU rRNA
Rfam family: Bacterial small subunit ribosomal RNA
Source: RNAcentral
CUGCAUGGUUGUCGUCAGCUCGUGUCGUGAGAUGUUGGGUUAAGUCCCGCAACGAGCGCAACCCUUGUCUUAUGUUGCCAGCAUUUUAAGUUGGGGACUCAUGGGAGACUGCCGGGGUUAACACGGAGGAAGGUGGGGAUGACGUCAAAUCAUCAUGCCCCUUAUGUCCAGGGCUUCACACAUGCUACAAUGGUAGGUACAGAGGGUUGCUACACAGCGAUGUGAUGCUAAUCUCAAAAAGCCUAUCGUAGUCCGGAUUGGAGUCUGCAACUCGACUCCAUGAAGUCGGAAUCGCUAGUAAUCGCAGAUCAGAAUGCUGCGGUGAAUACGUU